UUACAAAAAAUAAAAGGAAGGACAUUGGUGCCAAAGUUUCCCGGCGAAGUCAGUCUGCUGGCACAAAUGAUAUAAAUACAGAGAUAGAAGAGCAGAGAGUGAAAAACAUUGCUGCUAUUACGGAUUUGAAGCUCCGACCUGCUGAAAAAUUGGUAGUUGAGAGGUUACAGGGGAAUUCUGGGUCCAUAAAGAGAAUGAAGUCACCAAUCACUGCUACUUCGUAUACCGUUGCUUCUCUCCAAACAGCAACAAAUAGCUUCAGUCAAGAGUUUAUAAUUGGUGAAGGUUCUCUUGGUCGUGUU
Molecule: unclassified non-coding RNA, 302 nt
Filed under: Hevea brasiliensis (rubber tree)
Lineage: Eukaryota; Viridiplantae; Streptophyta; Magnoliopsida; Malpighiales; Euphorbiaceae
Source: RNAcentral